AUACGGAGGAUGCAAGCGUUAUCCGGAUUUAUUGGGUUUAAAGGGUGCGUAGGCUGUUCGGAAAGUCGGGGGUGAAAGCCCGGCGCCUAACGCCGGAACUGCCUUUGAUACUUCCGAGCUGGAAUACGGAUGCCGUGGGAGGAAUGAGUAGUGUAGCGGUGAAAUGCAUAGAUAUUACUCAGAACACCGAUUGCGAAGGCAUCUCAUGAAUCCGUCAUUGACGCUGAGGCACGAAAGCGUGGGGAUCAAACAGGAUUAGAUACCCUGGUAGUCCACGCAGUAAACGAUGAUGACUAACCGUCGGCGAUACACAGUCGGUGGCCAAGCGAAAGCGAUAAGUCAUCCACCUGGGGAGUACGUUCGCAAGAAUGAAACUCAAAGGAAUCGACGGGG
RNAcentral lists this ribosomal RNA (393 nucleotides) under uncultured bacterium. Its description in RNAcentral is "partial 16S ribosomal RNA". It matches the Rfam family "Bacterial small subunit ribosomal RNA", at positions 523 to 918 of the family's 1533-position model. The record is from RNAcentral.